This 449-nucleotide ribosomal RNA is filed under the name uncultured bacterium. RNAcentral's name for it is "partial 16S ribosomal RNA". It matches the Rfam family "Bacterial small subunit ribosomal RNA", at positions 29 to 523 of the family's 1533-position model. The record is from RNAcentral.
AACGAACGCUGGCGGCAGGCCUAACACAUGCAAGUCGAACGCUGCAGCAAUGCAGAGUGGCAGCCGGGUGAGUAACGCGUGGGAACCUUCCCAAUGGUACGGAAUAGCCCAGGGAAACUUGGGGUAAUACCGUAUAAGCCCCAUGGGGGAAAGAUUUAUCGCCAUUGGAUGGGCCCGCGUCGGAUUAGCUAGUUGGUGAGGUAACGGCCCACCAAGGCGACGAUCCGUAGCUGGUUUGAGAGAAUGACCAGCCACACUGGGACUGAGACGCGGCCCAGACUCCUACGGGAGGCAGCAGUGGGGAAUCUUGGACAAUGGGCGAAAGCCUGAUCCAGCCAUGCCGCGUGAGUGACGAAGGCCUUAGGGUUGUGAAGCUCUUUUGGCGGGGACGAUAAUGACGGUACCCGCAGAAUAAGUCCCGGCUAACUUCGUGCCAGCCGCCGCGGUAA